RNAcentral lists this ribosomal RNA (380 nucleotides) under uncultured eukaryote. RNAcentral describes it as "partial 18S ribosomal RNA". It matches the Rfam family "Eukaryotic small subunit ribosomal RNA", at positions 592 to 976 of the family's 1831-position model. The record is from RNAcentral.
CAAUAGCGUAUAUUAAAGUUGUUGCAGUUAAAAAGCUCGUAGUUGGAUUUGUGGCGUACGGUGGGUUCCGGGCACUUGUUGUCUGAGUAACUUGCUGUUGCCAUCAUUGGGUGGAACCUGUGUGGCAUUAGGUUGUCGUGCAGGGGAUGCCCAUCAUUUACUGUGAAAAAAUUAGAGUGUUCAAAGCAGGCUUAUGCCGUUGAAUAUAUUAGCAUGGAAUAAUGAGAUAGGACUUUUUUGCUAUUUUGUUGGUUUGCGCAAAGAGGUAAUGAUUAAUAGGGACAGUUGGGGGUAUUCGUAUUCCAUUGUCAGAGGUGAAAUUCUUGGAUUUUUGGAAGACGAACUACUGCGAAAGCAUUUACCAAGGAUGUUUUCAUUAA